GAUGAACGCUGGCGGCGUGCCUAAUACAUGCAAGUCGAGCGAACAGACGAGGAGCUUGCUCCUCUGACGUUAGCGGCGGACGGGUGAGUAACACGUGGAUAACCUACCUAUAAGACUGGGAUAACUUCGGGAAACCGGAGCUAAUACCGGAUAAUAUAUUGAACCGCAUGGUUCAAUAGUGAAAGACGGUUUUGCUGUCACUUAUAGAUGGAUCCGAGCCGCAUUAGCUAGUUGGUAAGGUAACGGCUUACCAAGGCAACGAUGCGUAGCCGACCUGAGAGGGUGAUCGGCCACACUGGAACGGAGACACGGUCCAGACUCCUACGGGAGGCAGCAGUAGGGAAUCUUCCGCAAUGGGCGAAAGCUUGACGGAGCAACGCCGCGUGAGUGAUGAAGGUCUUCGGAUCGUAAAACUCUGUUAUUAGGGAAGAACAAAUGUGUAAGUAACUAUGCACGUCUUGACGGUACCUAAUCAGAAAGCCACGGCUAACUACGU
Molecule: ribosomal RNA, 496 nt
Filed under: uncultured bacterium
Lineage: Bacteria
Description: partial 16S ribosomal RNA
Rfam family: Bacterial small subunit ribosomal RNA
Source: RNAcentral